CCAUUGCGGAUGCUCUAAGCACUAGACUUGAAAAGAAAAAAACAAACCAACAAAUGCAGAUCAAAAAAUUCCUGAUUAUAUUAUUUUACUUCAAUUUUAUCAAAAAAUACUAGUGGAUGUUUUCUUUCAAAAACAAAAUUUCACUACCCUUGCGGUCAGGCUAGGCCUUGGGCAUAGACUCACCAGCGCCUAGGGCCUCCGGUUUUGGACCCAACUAGUUGAAUAUAUUAAAUAUUAUGUAUAUAAACUAUUUCACAACUAGGCUAAUGUAGCACAGUGGUACAAUGCGCGUGUUUUGAGCAUGGUAUUGCAAGUUUGGUCCCUGAUCCCUUCAAUUUUUAAUGCAACAAUUUUGGAACUUGUAUAAAAAAAAAGGUUUUGAAACGAUGCUUUUGAGGAUUGAACUCACGAUCUAAGGUUUUAAAGAGGUGGUACAACCAUUUUGCCAACAAGGCUAGCUUGUUUCUUAUACCGAACAACUAAUUAAUUUACUGAAAAAUGAAAGAGUCCAUUUUCAAAUUCUGCCUAGGGCCUCGGAAAUCUGAGAACCUGGCCGGUUUGCGGCUCACAAUUCCUCCACAAACACACGUUUAUAUUGGGGUCUCACAGUAAUAUACCCAUAUGAAAAGCGAUCAGGGAAUUAACUUCAGCAUAGAGUACCAGACUUCUCACACGACUAUAUGACCAAAGAUCAGGUCUCCGACCCUUGGCUACUUUGAAACAACACAUUUCACACUGAAAAGAAAAGCGCUUAACGAUGCCAUAGUCUGUACACGCAUGGUAGUAAUUGCAAACGAUCGAUCCACACAUAGUAGAUGUGUAGUUACGCAGAUAGUUGGUACAGUAUUUUAUGUGACGAUGAACAGGAAACUAUCAAUGAUUUUUCAAAUUUCAAACAGUAGUUACCUUGAAAGGGAAUUUCACCGGCUUCAAUGAGUUUGGGGCCACAAAAGAAGGCCCAAAAGGCACAAGCGCUGUUGGUCCAGAAAAUGAUGACCGGGAUCCCAACCUCUUCACCGACGUCAAUGGCGAAACUCAAUGUCCCAUCGGCUAUGAUGCAAGAUGCCCGCUUUCGACCUGAGCCCGAAUCCUUUCCUCCAUCGGAUCCCAGCAGUUCUCUGAGAAGUGGUUUUGCCGUAACUCUGAACGAACGGAACUGCUCCAUGACUCUAUCACCCGAACGCAGGUCGUCUUCGGGCAACCCGUCCGGAAUGGCUUCGAAUCGGAACCCGGAGUAGCGGGUUAACCGCGAGAUCAGGGCGGUGCUGUUGCAGAGGAGACGGCGGUGAGUGAAGUGGGUGACUAGGAAGGUGACGUGGAGGCCGGCGUGGCAGAGGAGCUCGGCUAACUUGAGCAUGGGGUUGACGUGGCCCUGUGCCGGGUAAGGGAAGAUGAGCACGCGGGGAGGAGGGAGCUCUGUUUCUUGAUCAUCCAUGGCUUCAAGUACUUUUCGGAUCCCAAAAUUGGAUAUUUU
Long non-coding RNA from Rhododendron vialii, 1474 nucleotides. RefSeq lists it as uncharacterized. Lineage: Eukaryota; Viridiplantae; Streptophyta; Magnoliopsida; Ericales; Ericaceae. The record is from RefSeq and is a predicted model, not a curated record. The transcript has 3 exons.